UAUUGCUUAAAUGUGUGGACGAGCUCAC
Molecule: small RNA, 28 nt
Filed under: Bombyx mori (domestic silkworm)
Lineage: Eukaryota; Metazoa; Arthropoda; Insecta; Lepidoptera; Bombycidae
Description: ovarian small RNA-24241
Source: RNAcentral